AACGAACGCUGGCGGCAUGCCUAACACAUGCAAGUCGAACGAGACCUUCGGGUCUAGUGGCGCACGUGUGCGUAACGCGUGGGAACCUGCCCUUAGGUUCGGAAUAACUCCCCGAAAGGGGUGCUAAUACCGGAUAAUGUCUCCGGACCAAAGAUUUAUCGCCAUUGGAUGGGCCCGCGUUGGAUUAGCUAGUUGGUAGGGUAAAAGCCUACCAAGGCGACGAUGCAUAGCUGGUCUGAGAGGAGGAUCAGCCACACUGGGGCUGAGACACGGCCCAGACUCCUACGGGAGGCAGCAGUGGGGAAUAUUGGACAAUGGGCGAAAGCCUGAUCCAGCAAUGCCGCGUGAGUGAUGAAGGCCUUAGGGUUGUAAAGCUCUUUUACCCGGGAUGAUAAUGACAGUACCGGGAGAAUAAGCUCCGGCUAACUCCGUG
This 433-nucleotide ribosomal RNA is filed under the name uncultured bacterium. Its description in RNAcentral is "partial 16S ribosomal RNA". It matches the Rfam family "Bacterial small subunit ribosomal RNA", at positions 29 to 507 of the family's 1533-position model. The record is from RNAcentral.